UAAAAAUUAAAAGAAAAUAAAACCAGAGCAUCUCUAUUAGGAAGCUGAUACAGUUAAAGACUGGAGCAGAUGCUUCUGUAGCCCCACUGUAAUGUAAACCGCAGAAAAAAAACAUGUCGAGAGUAAAGAAUAUGAUGGAGGCAGUGACCAUGGACUGCCUUGCUCCCCAGAGUCUUAUUUAGCUUAGUUUUGGAGGCAAUGUACUAAGUGAUUUGCUGUUUCCAGCUCACUCUGAGCUGCCAGAUCCAGUCCGAUAAACAGCAGUCAAGUUUAGCGUAUAAAUGGCACAUUCAUAAACUGCAGGUUUGUGUAAAUGCUCCUCCUCCUCCUCCUCAUUACAGUGGCUCAGCAGACUGUGCAAAACCAUUGAAGAAUUUCAUACAAUGCUGAUCAUGUCUACCAACACGUGUAGGUAGGUAUUUUGCAGCCCAUGUCUCAGAUACCUGGGGUGCUGGGCCUGACCAUGAAACGCAGCAGGUGCAGGGUUGCUGCCUCUCAUCACCCACAGGUGCAAACCGAUCCGUGAUAUUUAACAGCUAUUCAGCAGGCAAGAUUUAAUGCAGACUUAAAGCACCAGGCCUGUUUUUUCCCCUCUCUCUUACAUUUGUACGAUUUCACUGGCUUCAGUUCAAGCUUCAUUAGGAACAGACUAUUACGCACAACAGCCGCGGAUGUACGGCUCGUAAUGAGUGCUGGGGUUUGAAGGCUUCCUCCUACUCUGUACCAGCGAGCCAACCCUGUAAAGCUGGUGCACACAUUUACACCUCCGGAUUUCUACCAGUGGGUAAAGGGAGAGCCACAUCACCCCGAGAGCUUCGCCAGUGCCUGCGGUGCACAUCUCCUGGUCCUCAGCAUUUCUCCUCCAUCCUCGCUGCCAGCGGGUGUGUUGAUUUUGGGAGAGAAAAGGAGAAAAAAAGUGUCACGUGUACGUUGGGAGACCAAAGCUCAUACAUUUGGGGGAGAGUUGGUAACUUCCUUCAGGGAAAAAUGUUCCCUGAGAGCUAUAAAUGGAUCUUUUCUCUGGUUUACUCCAUGGCGAUUACUUCCACGUGGCCAGCAGAAGUAGGAUGAUCAGUAAAUAUUUUAGGCUUUCAGUGAGCUCGGUUUAUAGCUUGUGUUAGCAUCAAGAGGAGAACUGCAGACCCAGCACAGGAAGGUUUCCUCGCUGGCCUUUGUAAUGCAAAACUGAUUCCUUUGCAAUAAAACACAGGAGCCCAGAG
RNAcentral lists this long non-coding RNA (1220 nucleotides) under Anser brachyrhynchus (Pink-footed goose). RNAcentral's name for it is "lncRNA (ENSABRG00000021700.1)". The record is from RNAcentral. Lineage: Eukaryota; Metazoa; Chordata; Aves; Anseriformes; Anatidae.